AUGUUUCCGUGUUUGUUUUUCUUCUCGUUUUUUUUCUCUUUCCCCCCCUCUUGUUUUUAUGCUGCUCACCCUAUGAGGGGCCGUACAAGCCAAAAUUCAUUCUUUCACUCUCACAUACAUACAUUCUUCUUUCACACAUAUAUUUUCACUCUCACUCACAUAUAUUUUCACCCUCACACACAUAUAUUUUCACUCUCACUCACAUAUAUUUUCACCCUCACACACGUAUAUUUUCACCCUCACACACAUAUAUUUUCACUCUCACUCACAUAUAUUUUCACUCUCACACACAUAUAUUUUCACUCUCACACACAUAUAUUUUCACUCUCACAUACAUACAUUCUUCUUUCACACACAUAUAUUUUCACUCUCACUCACAUAUAUUUUCACUCUCACACACAUAUAUUUUCACUCUCACACACAUAUAUUUUCACUCUCACACACAUAUAUUUUCACUCUCACAUACAUACAUUCUUCUUUCACACACAUAUAUUUUCACUCUCACUCACAUAUAUUUUCACUCUCACACACAUAUAUUUUCACUCUCACACACAUAUAUUUUCACUCUCACUCACGUAUAUUUUCACCCUCACACACGUAUAUUUUCACUCUCACACACAUAUAUUUUCACUCUCACACACAUAUAUUUUCACUCUCACACACAUAUAUUUUCACCCUCACACACAUAUAUUUUCACCCUCACACACAUAUAUUUUCACUCUCACACACAUAUAUUUUCACUCUCACACACAUAUAUUUUCACUCUCACAUACAUACAUUCUUCUUUCACACACGUAUAUUUUCACUCUCACUCACAUAUAUUUUCACCCUCACACACAUAUAUUUUCACUCUCACACACAUAUAUUUUCACUCUCACACACAUAUAUUUUCACCCUCACACACAUAUAUUUUCACUCUCACACACAUAUAUUUUCACCCUCACACACAUAUAUUUUCACUCUCACACACAUACAUUUUCAUUUAUGCAUUCCUACAUUUUUCUCUCAUUUACAUGA
This 1017-nucleotide long non-coding RNA is filed under the name Oreochromis niloticus (Nile tilapia). RNAcentral describes it as "lncRNA (ENSONIG00000027179.1)". The record is from RNAcentral. Lineage: Eukaryota; Metazoa; Chordata; Actinopteri; Cichliformes; Cichlidae.